This 109-nucleotide ribosomal RNA is filed under the name Riccia cf. multifida DCC 1288. RNAcentral describes it as "partial 26S large subunit ribosomal RNA". It matches the Rfam family "Eukaryotic large subunit ribosomal RNA", at positions 1 to 108 of the family's 3401-position model. RNAcentral also lists the same sequence under 1 other name. The record is from RNAcentral. Lineage: Eukaryota; Viridiplantae; Streptophyta; Marchantiopsida; Marchantiales; Ricciaceae.
CCGACCUCAGAUCAGGCGAGACCACCCGCUGAGUUUAAGCAUAUCACUAAGCGGAGGAAAAGAAACUAACAAGGAUUCCCUUAGUAGCGGCGAGCGAACCGGGAAGAGC